GAGGGCCUCGGUCGGACUCGGACCUUGGAUUGAGAUGGCCUAGGGUUAGCAGGUCACGGGCGCUGGGAAAUUAUAUCGAUCUCGCCCGUUCGGUUGAGCAAUUCGGCCGUCUUUAAUUCGUACAAAUCAGCCGUGCAACAAUGUUUUCCUCCAACAACAAAUCAGUCUGCCGAACAUUAAUGCAUCCGACGGUCUUUCAGAUCCUGGCACCCAUCUUGUUGCUUUGCAUCUGCAUCUGCCCUCCCCCUCCUGCAGGUAGCCUUGCCUUCGUUGCCGCAAAGGCAAAGGGAAAUCCCCAGAGCGCAGCAGGCAGGAGGUUGAUGUAUGACGCUGCCACGGAACCGCUGGCUGCACAAAGUCAUAAAAGAACUAAACAAAGUCGUCGUAAUCAUUCUAAAAAGAUUAUGAAAAAUAAUAAUAAUAAUAAGAGUGAGAGACAGACAUAUACGUAGUAUAGGAAUUGAUUUACGUACCAGUUUCCAUAGAUCGAUUCGAUUCUUCUGACCGCCCCUCUCUCGUCCACCGCGAGAACGAAU
This 536-nucleotide long non-coding RNA is filed under the name Setaria italica (foxtail millet). RNAcentral's name for it is "long non-coding RNA (SITA_LNC001317)". Lineage: Eukaryota; Viridiplantae; Streptophyta; Magnoliopsida; Poales; Poaceae. The record is from RNAcentral.